RNAcentral lists this ribosomal RNA (492 nucleotides) under uncultured bacterium. RNAcentral's name for it is "partial 16S ribosomal RNA". It matches the Rfam family "Bacterial small subunit ribosomal RNA", at positions 29 to 507 of the family's 1533-position model. The record is from RNAcentral.
AGUGAACGCUGGCGGCAGGCCUAACACAUGCAAGUCGAACGGCAGCACAGUAAGCGCUUGCUCUUACCGGUGGCGAGUGGCGGACGGGUGAGGAAUACAUCGGCUUCCUCUUUUUCGUGGGGGACAACGUAGGGAAACUUACGCUAAUACCGCAUAUGUCCUACGGCUGAAAGCAGUGGUGCUUCGCACCUUUGCUGAUUCUAUUAGCCGGGGCCGGAUUAGCUAGUUGGCUGGGUAAAGGCCCACCAAGGCGACGAUGCGUAGCUGGUCUGAGAGGGUGAUCAGCCACACUGGAACUGAGACACGGUCCAGACUCCUACGGGAGGCAGCAGUAGGGAAUAUUGGGCAAUGGGCGAAAGCCUGACCCAGCCAUGCCGCGUGAGUGAAGAAGGCCUUCGGAUUGUAAAGCCCUUUUAUUAGGGAAGAAAAAAAGCGGAUUAAACCCCCGCUGUUUUGACGGUACCCAAAGAGUAAGCCCCGGCUAACUACGUG